Molecule: long non-coding RNA, 6275 nt
Filed under: Manihot esculenta (cassava)
Lineage: Eukaryota; Viridiplantae; Streptophyta; Magnoliopsida; Malpighiales; Euphorbiaceae
Description: long non-coding RNA (MESC_LNC009272)
Source: RNAcentral
CCCGUGUUUAGACAUAGAAGGUAAUUAAUGUAGGCUUUAGAAGAGCCCGUCAUAUGUCUAUUAAUCUGAAAUUAAUAAUCCAUGGAACAGUAUCAAGAAACGAAAUAAAAGUAUUAUAAGAAGCACUACAUUAUCCCCCACUAGUCACUUUCAUGUCUGCUAUGGUGGCCAAAAAACAACAAUAAAGCAAACAAAAGAGAAUCCAAAAUACCAGGUCUAAACAAAGGAAAAAAGGCUGCCCAAUCAAAUAAAGAACCUGUAAAUACCCAAUAGUGGCUGCAAACACCGAGAAGACCUAAUCCAAUACCAAGAUGACCAAGAAGCAGCAGGAAGUGGACAGAAAGAGGUCAGAAAAAUCACUGACGAUGCCUGGGAAGGGAAACCUAAUAGAAACAGGUCACGUGCCUGCAUAAUGGUGCAUGAGGUUCACCCACUCAAAGAUCCGGCGCCAGAAUCUAGGGACAGGCCGGCCACACCCUGAUCUAGUGGUGGUGGCAGUGGGGCAAGAAGAGGAUCCUACGUGCGACAGUACCAAUUCAGGUUUAAAUCCAAUUUUUCCUCUUUAGGAUUCCAAAACCGUAGAUCUACCUUUUUGGUACUAAUCCAUCUAAGAGUCUUUCCACCUCUCACCGCCGGCACUAGGAGAAUUGUCGGACCGUCGCCGACCCGACUGCCUAGCUAUGACGCUAGAACGUGAAGCUCAUGCGCCUUCCCUUCCUGACGCGUGAUACAUCGCUUGAUGCUGCUUCGCCACUCCGAUCACUCCGGCGACGAUUACGAUCGUCUUUCUGGCUUGCCCAUGCUGCUACCCAGUCUUUUGGUGAUUCGGUUGGGCUCUCUUGUGUGUACAACCUUGGGUACCUCCUAUUCUUUUACGGUUCAUUUGUCUUUACGUUGGCAGAAGGUAAAAGGGUCUCGAUUCCUAACUCUGAUAAUCCUUCCUUGCAAAUGAGUCCCACAAAACUUGAUGGAAGCAGGGCUGUCACUGGUAAUAAGAAGCAACUGGAUUAGAGUGAUCCAGAUUUUCCUCAAUGGGACUCGGAUAAUUGUCUUGUUAUGACAUGGUUACUUAAUUCUAUGCAAUCUCAUAUCUAUAAGUCAUAUUUGUUGAUUGAUACUGCUACAAAAAUAUAGAAGGCCUUGUCCUUAACUUAUUCUAAGAUUGAGAAUAAUGCCUAAAUUUAUUAUAUUCAGAAUAAGAUCCAUGGUACUAAGCAAAGAGAAAUGACUGCCUCCCAAUUUUAUUCUGAAUUAUGUGGCUUAUGGCAGGAACUUAAUUACUAUCAAGACUUCCAAGCAAACUGUACUGGAGAUGCAGUCAAAUUUUGGAAAAUGAUUGAAAAUGAGGGAGUCUAUGAUUUUCUUGCAGGGUUGAAUAACGAAUAUGAUCCAAUUCGGGUCCAAGUGUUGGGAAGAAAUCUUUUUCCUUCUCUAGAAGAGGCCCACACCCAUGUUCAACAAAAGGAAAGUCAUCGACAUGCUAUGCUCUAUGCUGCACCAGUUGAAAAGGCUGGGUUCGCUACUAGUUUGAGCACACCGCAGCCUCAUAAUUCUAUGAAAGAUCACUUGCACUGUGACUAUUGUGGAAAACCGGGAUAUACCAAGGAGACUUGUUGGAAGUUACAUGGUCGUUCUACUAGAGGCCGUGGGGGGAAACGAGGUACCUCCAGAACUUAAGCUAAUUUAGCAAAAACUGUCGAGGAGCCCUUUAAAGAGACAACAGCGACCGAGUUCCUUUUCCCUAAUGAAAUUCAGAGUCUCAAGCGCCUCCUGUCUCAUAUUGACACCUCUUCAUCCUCCGGUGCUACAUCUAACUUUGUAAAGUCAGGUAAUGCUUCAUCUCUUGAUAAUGUUCCAUGAAUUAUUGAUUCUGGUGCGAAUAGACACAUGACAGGCUUUUCUAAAAGCUUUCUCAAUCAUUUUCCUUUUCUAACUAAAGAUAGUGUCAGAAUUGCUGAUAGCUCUUUUACCCCUAUAUCCAGAACAAGUUAUGUUAUUUGCACACUCAAUAUUAAAUUAUCAUCUGUCCUUCAUGUUCCCCGCUUUCCUACCAACCUUUUAUCUGUCAGUGCUAUCACCAAUGCUCUUAACUAUAAAAUUAAAUUCUUUCUUGAUCACUGUGUUAUUCAGGAUCUUCGCACAUGGAAGCGGAUUGGCAAUGGUAGGCUGCAUGAUGGCUUAUACAUAUUGGAAGCUGAUCCAGGUUCUCCGAUAUCUCAAGCCUAUUUUGGAGAAAAUAAAGAUGUCAAUGAGGAAAUAAUACAGUGGCACAGGCGGUUAGGGCAUCCAUCAUUUUUUUGUCUUAGCAAAACUUUAUCCUAGUUUGUUUGCUAGAACUCAGUUUGGUUCUUUAUUUUGUGAUGUUUGUGUGUAUGCUAAGCACACUAGGACCUCCUAUCCUUUGAGUCAGAAUAAAAGCCAAAUUCCUUUUGUGACUAUUCAUUCUGAUGUUUGAGGGUCUAAUCAAACUAUCUCCUUAUCUGAUAAUCGAUGGUUUGUCACCUUUAUUGAUUAUUGCACUCGAAUGACUUGGGUCUAUUUGAUUAAAGAUAAAAGUGAUGUCUUUUCUUGUUUUCAAUCCUUUCAUAAGAUGAUUUGUACUCAAUUUCAUACUAAAGUGAAAAUUUUGAGAACUGACAAUGAAAGAGAAUACAUGGAUAGUAGUUUUUCUGUUUAUUUGGAGAAUAAUGAGAUAGUACACCAAACUAGUUGUCCUUAUACUAGUACUCAAAAUAGCAUUGUUAAAAGAAAAAAUAUGCAUCUAUUGGAGGUAGCUCGAUCUCUUAUAUUCACUAUGAAUCUAUCCAAAGCAUAUUGGGAAGAUACAGUCCUUGUAUCUACUUAUCUUAUUAAUAAAAUGCCCCUCAAGAACUUUGACUCCAUGAGUCUUUUGGAUGUUCUACAAGGGAAAAAUUUAUACAUUAUUCCACCAAAAGUAUUUGGGUGUAUUUGCUUUGUCCAUACUAGGACGGUGAGAAAGUUGGACUCCAAGGCCCUUAAAUGUGUGUUUGUUGGAUAUUCUCCGACACAGAAGGGAUACAGAUGUUAUCACCCUCCAUCUAGGAAAUACUUUGUCAAUAUGAAUGUUACCUUCCGAGAGACUGAACCCUACUUCAGUACCACCCACUCACCUCUUCGGGAGAAGAAUAAUGAGCAAGAAGAGGUGAUCCCAAAUUCUGUGAUUCUGAAUGAUAUCAGCUAGAGAGUUUGAGUUCUAGUAGAUAUAGGGAGAUGUCCAAUCAGAGGGAGAGAAUUGGACGUUUAGACAAGCCAGAUUUGAGGAGAUAUUCGAAGAGACACAAGGCAGAAGAAGCCAUUAUGCCAGUCUACUCAUAGUCAAAAAUUUUCUUCUGGUGAGUUACCCACAACUCUUGAAUGCUCCAAUGAUUUAAAUAAACCUAUUACACAAAGAAAAAGAGUCUAAUCUUGUACUAAACACCCUAUUUCUAACUUUGUUGUUAAAUUUGGGCUAAGCUCAACUCACCCCAAAAGCCAGCUCAAGGGGAAGGAGUGCCUAUGGCCCAUAGAAGAAGUACAUUACCCCUUUCUACAACCCAUGUAGGAUUCAACACUCUCCUCACGCCUAGAAUUUUACUGGUGCAUGACAUAUUUGUUGAAUCCCACAUCGGUUGUGGAAAGGGGUAAUGUGCCCCUUAUAUGGGCCAUAGGCACUCCUCCCCCAUGAGCUAGCUUUUAGAGUGAGUUAGACUUGACCCAAAUUUAACAUGGUAUCAGAGUCUCCCAUCCGAUAUCGCGCCUCCUAUAAAUAUGUCACGCACCAGUAAAAUUCUAGGCAUUGAGGGGUGUAUUGAAUCCCACAUCGAUUGUGGAAAGGGGUAAUGUGCCCCUUAUAUGGGCCAUAGGCACUCCUCCCCCAUGAGCUAGCUUUUAGGAUGAGUCUGGCCCAAAUUUAACAAUAUUUAUAGGAGACCCAACAUCGGAGGGAGAGGCUCUCAUACCAUGUUAAAUUUGGGUCAUGCCUAACUCACCCCAAAAGCUAGCUCAAGGGGGAGAAGUGCCUAUGGCCCAUAUAAGAGACACAUUACCCCUUUCCACAACUCAUAUGGGAUUCAACAUUUCUUAUGAAUCCUUGUCUCCCUCCUAUAGAGCCUUUGCCUUGUCUAUUUCCUCUGUAUCUAUUCCACAAGAUUGGAAGGAAGCUCUUGCAGAUCCUAAAUGGAAGGAAGCAAUGAUUGAAGAGAUGAAAACAUUGACUAAAAAUGAGACCUGGAAGCUUGUCGCUCUCCCACCUGGGAAGAAACUCGUUGGCUGUAAGUGGUGUUCAUAGUGAAACACAAAGUUGAUGACACGGUUGAACGGUUUAAGGGCAGAUUAGUUGCUAAAGGAUUCACCUAAACCUAUAGAGUGGAUUAUCAAGAGACAUUUGGCCUAGUUGCAAAAAUGAACUCAAUCAGAGUCCUAUUAUCUUGCGCAGCCAAUUUGGACUGGGACUUGCAAUAGUUUGAUAUGAAGAAUGCUUUCCUCUAUGAAGAUUUAGAGGAAGAAGUAAUCAUGGAGAUCCCUCUUGGGUUCGCUGAUGAGAAGAUACAAGGAAAGGUGUGCAUAUUAAAAAAGGCUUUGUAUGUGCUAAAACAAUUUCCCAGAGCUUAGUUUGACAAGUUUUGCAGAGCCAUGAUGUCCUUUGGUUACUAACAGAGCAAUGCCGAUCACACUCUGUUUAUCAAACAUCACAAGGGUAAUAUUAUCCUUCUUGUGUAUGUUAGAUGAUAUAGUGGUGACAGGUGAUGACAAAGAGAAAAUGGCUCAACUAAAAAGGUUGUUGGCUCAAGAAUUUGAAAUCAAAGAUAUAGGAAAAUUGCAAUAUUUCCUAGAUAUUGAGGUGGCUAGAUCAGAAAAAGGAAUCUUCAUCUCCCAAAGAAAGUACAUUCUGAAUCUUUUAGAAGAAAUUGGUAUGUUGGGGUAUAAACUAGCAGAAUCUCCCAUUAAAAGUAAUCACAAGCUGGAAGCAGUAACUGGUGAGUCUGUGGAUAUUGGAGGAUACUAGAGAUUGGUAAGAAGGUUGAUUUAUCUCUUGCACAAUCGACCGCAUAUAGCCUAUGCUGUUAGCUUAGUCAGCCAAUUCAUGUAUGACCCUCACGAGACUCAUAUGCGGCCUGUACUUCGCAUCUUGAGAUACCUAAAGUCUGCACCAGGAAAAGGGUUUCUUUACUCCAAACAUGGUCACCCCCGAGUUGAAGCUUUUAUAGAUGCAGAUUGGGUAGAAUCUCUCAAUGACAUGAGAUCCACUUUUGGCUACUGUACAGUUGUGGGAGGGAACUUUGUCCCCCGGAGGAGCAAAAAACAAAGUGUUGUUGCUCAGUUAAGUGCUGACGCAGAACACAGAGCAAUGGUCCAAGGUGUGUGUGAACUCUUAUGGUUGCAUAAGUUAUUGGAGGAGCUGAGGCUGUCCGAGAAGGACAAGAUAACUUUAUAUUGUGACAACAAAGCUGCCAUCAGUAUAGCACAAAAUCCAGUUCAACAUGAUCAGACGAAGUACAUUGAGAUUGAUCUGCACUUCAUUAAAGAAAAAUUAACUGACGGUGUCUUGAGCUUAGUUCAUAUGACUUCUGCUGGGCAACUUGCGGAUGUGUUUACUAAAGGCUCAACAAUAAGAUCUAUCAUAAUCUGAUUUGCAAGUUGGGCAUGUGCGAUAUUUUUGCACCAAUUUAAGGGGGAGUAUUGACUUAUUUGCUGAUUCUAGGAAUAUGAUUUGAUUUGAUUAGGAUCCUUAAUUAUCGCUGUAAUUAUCAUUUGAUUAUUUGCUUUUUAUUUAGAUAUAAUUCUUUGUAUAUAAAUAGUAAUGUAAAUCAGUUGUAAAGAUCAAGAGUGAUACAAGAAUACUCAAAACUUUCUCAAAAUUCUUCAAUGCCUGGGAAGAGAAACCUGACAGAAACAGAUCAUGCACCAGCAUAAUGGUGCAUGAGGUUCACGCACUCAGAGAUCCGGCGCUAGAACCUAGGGAUAGGCCGGCCACACUCCGAUAACCCUAGUGGUAGGGCAAGAAGAGGAUCCUAGGUGCAGCAGUACCAAUUCAGGCAGUUAGGAUUCCAAAAACCCUAAAAUUGAAAUUGAUUUGAAACCCUAAAAUCAGGUUUAAGGUUAUGAUACCAUGAAGAAUUUGAGAGAGUUUUUAUUUCUAUAAUAAUUCUUUACAAGCUAUAUAUAUUCUAAUUCACACAUAAAGAGUCAAAGCUAAUAAGAAAAUUACAAAGAAUUUAAUUUCUACAAUUAUGCUUUCUAAUUUAAACUAAAAUUAUGGCCUAAAGAUCUCCUCA